CGGACGGGUGAGUAACGCGUGGGUAACCUGCCUUACACAGGGGGAUAACGCUUAGAAAUAGGUGCUAAUACCGCAUGAGCGCACAGGACCGCAUGGUCGAGUGUGAAAAACUGAGGUGGUGUAAGAUGGACCCGCGUCUGAUUAGCUAGUUGGUGAGGUAACGGCCCACCAAGGCGACGAUCAGUAGCCGGCCUGAGAGGGUGGACGGCCACAUUGGGACUGAGACACGGCCCAAACUCCUACGGAAGGCAGCAG
RNAcentral lists this ribosomal RNA (255 nucleotides) under uncultured bacterium. Its description in RNAcentral is "partial 16S ribosomal RNA". It matches the Rfam family "Bacterial small subunit ribosomal RNA", at positions 99 to 354 of the family's 1533-position model. The record is from RNAcentral.